RNAcentral lists this ribosomal RNA (769 nucleotides) under uncultured bacterium SY6-106. RNAcentral's name for it is "bacterial SSU rRNA". It matches the Rfam family "Bacterial small subunit ribosomal RNA", at positions 59 to 821 of the family's 1533-position model. The record is from RNAcentral.
AAGUCGAACGAUGAGAGAGAGCUUGCUCUUUCGAUUAGUGGCGGACGGGUGCGUAACGCGUAGGAAUCUGCCUAUUAGUGGGGGACAACUUAGGGAAACUUAAGCUAAUACCGCAUACGCCCUACGGGGGAAAGGAGGGGAUCGCAAGACCUUUCGCUAAUAGAUGAGCCUGCGUAGGAUUAGCUAGUUGGUAGGGUAAAGGCCUACCAAGGCGACGAUCCUUAACUGGUUUGAGAGAAUGAUCAGUCACACUGGAACUGAGACACGGUCCAGACUCCUACGGGAGGCAGCAGUGGGGAAUAUUGGACAAUGGGCGAAAGCCUGAUCCAGCAAUACCGCGUGUGUGAAGAAGGCCUUAGGGUUGUAAAGCACUUUCAAUUGGAAGGAAAACCUCAUGGCUAAUAUCCAUGAGCUUGACAUUACCUUUAGAAGAAGCACCGGCUAACUCCGUGCCAGCAGCCGCGGUAAUACGGAGGGUGCAAGCGUUAAUCGGAAUUACUGGGCGUAAAGCGUGCGUAGGCGGCUCGUUAAGUCAGAUGUGAAAGCCCUGGGCUCAACCUGGGAACUGCAUUUGAAACUGGCGAGCUAGAGUUUGAGAGAGGUAAGUGGAAUUUCAGGUGUAGCGGUGAAAUGCGUAGAGAUCUGAAGGAACCACCAGUGGCGAAGGCGACUUACUGGCUUAAAACUGACCCUUAGGUCCAAAAGCGUNGGGUUAGCAAACAGGAUUAGAUACCCUGGUAGUCCACGCCGUAAACGAUGUNAACUAGCC